Molecule: ribosomal RNA, 497 nt
Filed under: uncultured bacterium
Lineage: Bacteria
Description: partial 16S ribosomal RNA
Rfam family: Bacterial small subunit ribosomal RNA
Source: RNAcentral
GACGAACGCUGGCGGCGUGCCUAAUACAUGCAAGUUGAGCGAUGAAGAUUGGUGCUUGCACCAAUUUGAAGAGCAGCGAACGGGUGAGUAACGCGUGGGGAAUCUGCCUUUGAGCGGGGGACAACAUUUGGAAACGAAUGCUAAUACCGCAUAACAACUUUAAACAUAAGUUUUAAGUUUGAAAGAUGCAAUUGCAUCACUCAAAGAUGAUCCCGCGUUGUAUUAGCUAGUUGGUGAGGUAAAGGCUCACCAAGGCGAUGAUACAUAGCCGACCUGAGAGGGUGGACGGCCACAUUGGGACAGGGACACGGCCCAAACUCCUGCGGGAGGCAGCAGUAGGGAAUCUUCGGCAACGGACGAAAGUCUGACCGAGGAACGCCGCGUGAGUGAAGAAGGGUGUCGGAUCGGAAAACUCUGUUGGUAGAGAAGAAAGUUGGUGAGAGUGGAAAGCUCAUCAAGUGACGGUAACUACCCAGAAAGGGACGGCUAACUACGUG